RNAcentral lists this non-coding RNA (111 nucleotides) under uncultured Sporofaciens sp. Its description in RNAcentral is "FMN riboswitch (RFN element)". It matches the Rfam family "FMN riboswitch aptamer (RFN element)". From Rfam's summary of the family: The RFN element is a highly conserved domain that is found frequently in the 5'-untranslated regions of prokaryotic mRNAs that encode for flavin mononucleotide (FMN) biosynthesis and transport proteins. Lineage: Bacteria; Bacillati; Bacillota; Clostridia; Lachnospirales; Lachnospiraceae. The record is from RNAcentral.
AUCUUCAGGGCGGGGUGUGAUUCCCCACCGGCGGUAAAGCCCGCGAGCCAAUGAUUUGGUUGAUUCGGUGAGAUUCCGGGGCCGACAGUAUAGUCUGGAUGGAAGAAGAUG